GGCUCAGGAUGAACGCUGGCGGCGUGCUUAACACAUGCAAGUCGAACGAAGCACUUUAUUACGAUUUCUUCGGAAUGACGAUUUGGUGACUGAGUGGCGGACGGGUGAGUAACGCGUGGGUAACCUGCCUUAUACAGGGGGAUAACAGUUGGAAACGGCUGCUAAUACCGCAUAAGCGCACAGGGUCGCAUGACCUGGUGUGAAAAACUCCGGUGGUAUGAGAUGGACCCGCGUUGGAUUAGCUGGUUGGUGAGGUAACGGCUCACCAAGGCGACGAUCCAUAGCCGACCUGAGAGGGUGACCGGCCACAUUGGGACUGAGACACGGCCCAAACUCCUACGGGAGGCAGCAGUGGGGAAUAUUGCACAAUGGGCGAAAGCCUGAUGCAGCGACGCCGCGUGAGCGAAGAAGUAUUUCGGUAUGUAAAGCUCUAUCAGCAGGGAAGAUAAUGACGGUACCUGACUAAGAAGCACCGGCUAAAUACGUG
This 487-nucleotide ribosomal RNA is filed under the name uncultured bacterium. RNAcentral describes it as "bacterial SSU rRNA". It matches the Rfam family "Bacterial small subunit ribosomal RNA", at positions 21 to 507 of the family's 1533-position model. The record is from RNAcentral.